RNAcentral lists this ribosomal RNA (423 nucleotides) under uncultured bacterium. RNAcentral's name for it is "bacterial SSU rRNA". It matches the Rfam family "Bacterial small subunit ribosomal RNA", at positions 39 to 447 of the family's 1533-position model. The record is from RNAcentral.
GAAUUCGAUUCAGGCCUAACACAUGCAAGUCGAACGAGAUUAUAGGGUAAGCUUGCUUACCUUAUAUGACAGUGGCGCACGGGUGCGUAACGCGUAUGCAAUCUACCUUAAUCAGGGGGAUAGCCUCUCGAAAGAGAGAUUAAUACCGCAUAACAUUAUGAUAUGGCAUCAUAUUAUAAUCAGACAUUUAUGGGAUUAAGAUGAGCAUGCGUGACAUUAGCUAGUUGGUGAGGUAACGGCUCACCAAGGCAACGAUGUCUAGGGGAUCUGAGAGGAUGACCCCCCACACUGGUACUGAGACACGGACCAGACUCCUACGGGAGGCAGCAGUAAGGAAUAUUGGUCAAUGGACGCAAGUCUGAACCAGCCAUGCCGCGUGCAGGAAGACGGCCCUACGGGUUUAAAGGGCUUUUAUACGGGAAU